RNAcentral lists this ribosomal RNA (468 nucleotides) under uncultured bacterium. RNAcentral's name for it is "partial 16S ribosomal RNA". It matches the Rfam family "Bacterial small subunit ribosomal RNA", at positions 28 to 507 of the family's 1533-position model. The record is from RNAcentral.
GACGAACGCUGGCGGCGUGCUUAACACAUGCAAGUCGAACGGAAAGGCCUUUCUUUUGUGGGGUGCUCGAGUGUCGAACGUGUGAGCAACACGUUAGUAACCUGCCCUUGACUUUGGGAUAACUUCAGUAAACUGGGGCUAAUACCGGAUAGGAGCUCCUGCUGCAUGGUGGGGGUUGGAAAGUUUCGGCGGUUGGGGAUGGACUCGCGGCUUAUCAGCUUGUUGUUGGGGUAGUGGCAUACCAAGUCUUUGACGGUUAGCCGGCCGGAGCGGGUGACCGGCAACAUUAGGGCUAAGAAGAGGCGCAGAAUCCUACGGGGGGAGGCAGUGGGGAAUAAUGAACAAUGGGGGGAGACAUGAUGAAGCAACGCCGCGGGGGGGAUGAAGGAGUCCGGGGGGUAGACCGCUUCCGCCUGUGAAGAAGAGGGAGUGACGGUAAUGGGUAAAGAAGCACCGGCUAACUACGUG